AGUUGCAACUGUGGCAAAAAGGUUGCUAGUCAUCAGCUGGACAUCGUCACAGAAAGCUAUCCAUACAUCAUAAUGGAAUCAGUAUUUGACUUGUCAAUACUGCGCACAAAAUAUUUUCAAUCCUCUAGUACUAAUCAAACUUUGUGACCUAUUAUUGUCUGGUAUUCGAAGUGUAUAAGAGUAUUCCGAGGCAAAAAUAGCAUAGUGGAAGGUGUGCAUCAUUAUUUCUUAUUCAAGUGGAAAAAAGUUGAACGAAACAGAAAUGUUUGUUCGUAAAAACAUUUCAAGCUGUGCAUUAAAAAAGUGGUCCAAGAUUCUUGUGGCUUUUUAUUUAUUGAUAGUUCUUAUAUAUAGUAGCUAGAUGCUGCUAUAUUAACAAAUCAUAAUAUAGAAAAUCUUGAAUACAAUGGAUAUUUUUAUUUCUGAAAGGUAGUGCCUUCUUUGUACCUUAAAAGCCUUAGUUUUCCUCCAAAACUUAUGCCCCUAUUAUCGAAAUGAUAAAUAUUAAAAAAAUACAUUAAUUCUGCAGUGAUCGAUAAAUUUGACAGUGUUAGAAAAAUGAUUGGAAAUUCUCAUUCAACAUCCAAUAUUCUAAUAACACUGAUGUAAUUCGUUAAAGUUUAGAAGGAGGAAAAUAUUUGUUGAUAAGUGAGCUUGUUCCAUAAUUUAAAAAAAUGAAGAAUUUAGAAUAAUACAUGAACUUUAAGCAGAAUAUAAGGAUGAUUAUUUGUAGGAAAUGAUUCAAUCAUUUGAAAAAUUUUGAAAAAGUUUGAAUUCUCUUUUCAACUAUUUUCUGAUUUUUGUUGUUGUGCUUUGUUUCCUUCGAAACGGGGAUUCAUAAGUCCCUCCGCUGUAAUGGAUUCUUCUUCUCCCAUUUUACCACAUGAAGUGCUAUAAGGUCCAUUGACACGAAUAUGUGACCGAUUAUUUCUAGACUGCUGCAUCACCGGAGAAUCAGUGUUUUCCCAGGGAAGCCCUUUCCGAAAUUGGUGCACAAUCUAUACAACCGGCUAUGAUACAUGUAAAACUCUGGUGAUGAUUCGUAAUAUGCAGAAUAUUUAUGAUUCAUAUUUUAUUUUUUUCAUUCUUGCUCAGUCUUCUUGGGUGGGUUCUUGAUCCCAUAGGUUAUUUCCCAUCAGGUAUAAAAAAACAAUUCAUGGAUUGAAUAAAAAAAAAAGUAGAAACAUGGCAAAACAACUUGGCAUAAAGGUUGAACAUCACAUGAGUUUGAUGAUAGCCUUGAGUACUGUACAGAAAGAGAGAGGGAAAAAGAGGGAGAAAGACCGUGCUCAUGUCUACUUACAACGUGUGACCAAAUAUAGAAUUUUGAUGAUCAGUACAGAAGCAUCAUUGGAGAAAUAGCAGCAGGUUCAACUACACAGGUGCUCAAUUAUAGGGGAAGAGGGAAUGAGGGAUAUUGAGAAGUAACAGUAGGUGUCUCUAAUUUAUCUUGUUUCCGAAUGUGAUUAAUGUGUCGUAUUGAUGAUGUCUGUAUAUAUCCACAGAUAUAUUCAAAAUUAUUAUUAUGAUCAAUUUUUUCAUGAAAAUAUUCAUUUUUCGAUUAGUUGGGUUUCCUGUAAUGUUUUUCGCAAAGAGGAUUGAAAAAUGGACCUAAGUGAAACCCAUUGCAACUAAAUUUCUUCAAUUAUCAAUCUUGUUUUUCUCUUUUUUUUCCAUAGUUCUAUUAGAAUGAUAAAU
Molecule: long non-coding RNA, 1698 nt
Organism: Diachasma alloeum
Lineage: Eukaryota; Metazoa; Arthropoda; Insecta; Hymenoptera; Braconidae
Exons: 3
Source: RefSeq, a predicted model, not a curated record